RNAcentral lists this ribosomal RNA (373 nucleotides) under uncultured eukaryote. RNAcentral describes it as "SSU rRNA". It matches the Rfam family "Eukaryotic small subunit ribosomal RNA", at positions 588 to 972 of the family's 1831-position model. The record is from RNAcentral.
GCUCCAAUAGCGUAUAUUAAAGUUGUUGCAGUUAAAAAGCUCGUAGUUGGAUUUCUGGGAGGGUGCCAAUGUCCGCCGACGUGCGUGCGCAGCGGCGCCCUCUCAUCCUUCUGUUAACGUCUCUCAGCAUUUAUUUGCCGGUGGCGGGCUCAGAUAUUUUACCUUGAGAAAAUUAGAGUGUUUCAGGCAGGCUAGGCCGGAAUACAUUAGCAUGGAAUAAUGGAAUAGGACUUCGGUCUCUUUGUUGGUUUGAGGGACUGCAGUAAUGAUUAAUAGGGAUAGUUGGGGGCAUUAGUAUUUAAUUGUCAGAGGUGGAAUUCUCGGAUUUGUUAAAGACUAACUUAUGCGAAAGCAUUUGCCAAGGAUGUUUUCA